RNAcentral lists this ribosomal RNA (405 nucleotides) under uncultured bacterium. Its description in RNAcentral is "partial 16S ribosomal RNA". It matches the Rfam family "Bacterial small subunit ribosomal RNA", at positions 29 to 526 of the family's 1533-position model. The record is from RNAcentral.
AUUGAACGCUGGCGGCAGGCUUAACACAUGCAAGUCGAACGAGUGGCGGACGGGUGAGUAAUGCGUGGGAAUCUGGCUUAUGGAGGGGGAUAAACACGGGAAACUGUCGCUAAAACCGCGAACCCUAUGAUGAGCCCAAGUGGGAUUGGGUAGUGGGUGGGGGAAUGGCCAACCAAGCCGACGAUCGCUAGCUGGUCUGAGAGGAUGACCGGCCACACCGGAACUGGGCCACGGCCCGGCCUCCGACGGGAGGCAGCAGUGGGGAAUAUUGCGCAAUGGGGGCAACCUGACGCAGCCAUGCCGCGUGAAUGAAGAAGGCCUUCGGGUUGUAAAGUUCUUUCGGUGACGAGGCGUUACUCACAGAAGAAGCACCGGCUAACUCCGUGCCAGCAGCCGCGGUAAUUC